Habropoda laboriosa is the source of this 58-nucleotide non-coding RNA. Lineage: Eukaryota; Metazoa; Arthropoda; Insecta; Hymenoptera; Apidae. The record is from Rfam.
UGGCGUAGCGCGCAAAGCCUCGGCUUGCUAAGCCGAAGGACUCGGGUUCGAUUCCCGG